CGUCAUAUCACAUUGAAACACUUGCUCCUAUACUAUCACUGAAGUUAAGCAAUGUUGAGCCUGGUCAGUACCUAAAUGGGUGAUUGCUUGGGAAUACCAGGUGCUGUAAG
Acanthosepion pharaonis is the source of this 110-nucleotide non-coding RNA. NCBI's taxonomy places the organism in Eukaryota, Metazoa, Mollusca, Cephalopoda, Sepiida, Sepiidae. The record is from the annotation of a GenBank genome assembly.